Non-coding RNA from Mycobacterium tuberculosis H37Rv, 99 nucleotides. The record is from Rfam. NCBI's taxonomy places the organism in Bacteria, Bacillati, Actinomycetota, Actinomycetes, Mycobacteriales, Mycobacteriaceae.
AAGAGCCAGAUACGGUGAAAGUCGCACGUCCGGUUCGAAGGGCGGCCACGGGAAACGGACCCGCAGCAACGCGGGCACCGCACCCAUGGUCGACCCAAC